AGAUCUUUCCUAAGAAGAAUUCCCAAAUACCGAAAACCAGCUAUUCCAGAUCUUACCUAAGAAGAAUUCACAAAUACCGAAAACCAGCUAUUCCAGAUUCAACCCCAGAUGUAUCUCGUACUGACCAGCUCACAUUUGUAAUUCGCUAUGUUUUGCCAGAUGGCACCACAGUUGAACGUUUCAUUACAUUUAUACCUAACUGUGGCC
This is a long non-coding RNA of Pseudophryne corroboree (corroboree frog), 207 nucleotides long. RefSeq lists it as uncharacterized. NCBI's taxonomy places the organism in Eukaryota, Metazoa, Chordata, Amphibia, Anura, Myobatrachidae. The transcript has 3 exons. The record is from RefSeq and is a predicted model, not a curated record.